Molecule: ribosomal RNA, 253 nt
Filed under: uncultured bacterium
Lineage: Bacteria
Description: partial 16S ribosomal RNA
Rfam family: Bacterial small subunit ribosomal RNA
Source: RNAcentral
GACAGAGGGGGCAAGCGUUGCUCGGAAUCACUGGGCGUAAAGGGCGCGUAGGCGGGAUGGCAAGUCAGUCGUGAAAUCUCUCGGCUCAACCGAGAAACGUCGGCUGAUACUGCCGUUCUUGAGGGAUGCAGAGGAGACUGGAAUUCCCGGUGUAGCGGUGAAAUGUGUAGAGAUCGGGAGGAACACCAGUGGCGAAGGCGAGUCUCUGGGAUGAUGCUGACGCUGAGGCGCGAAAGCCAGGGGAGCAAACGGG